This 203-nucleotide ribosomal RNA is filed under the name Orbiliaceae sp. RNAcentral's name for it is "partial large subunit ribosomal RNA". The record is from RNAcentral. Lineage: Eukaryota; Fungi; Ascomycota; Orbiliomycetes; Orbiliales; Orbiliaceae.
AAGCGCUUAUGACCAGACAUUUACCUUUCGGAUCAUCCGGUGUUCUCACCGGUGCACUUCGUUUGGUUGAGGCCAGCAUCGGUUUUCGUAGGGGGAUAAAGGUUUUAGGAAUGUAGCUCUUCGGAGUGUUAUAGCCUAUUUCGUAAUACCCUUAUGGAGACCGAGGUUCGCGCUCUGCAAGGAUGCUGGCAUAAUGGUCAUCA